GUUUUAAUAGUUUAAUAAAAACAUUGGUCUUGUAAACCUAAAAUAAGUUUAUCUUUUAAAACU
RNAcentral lists this transfer RNA (63 nucleotides) under Melophagus ovinus. RNAcentral describes it as "tRNA-Thr". It matches the Rfam family "tRNA". From Rfam's summary of the family: Transfer RNA (tRNA) molecules are approximately 80 nucleotides in length. Their secondary structure includes four short double-helical elements and three loops (D, anti-codon, and T loops). The record is from RNAcentral. Lineage: Eukaryota; Metazoa; Arthropoda; Insecta; Diptera; Hippoboscidae.